CUCCGUAGGUGAACCUGCGGAGGGAUCAUUACAAGUGACCCCGGUCUAACCACCGGGAUGUUCAUAACCCUUUGUUGUCCGACUCUGUUGCCUCCGGGGCGACCCUGCCUUCGGGCGGGGGCUCCGGGUGGACACUUCAAACUCUUGUGUAACUUUGCAGUCUGAGUAAACUUAAUUAAUAAAUUAAAACUUUUAACAACGGAUCUCUUGGUUCUGGCAUCGAUGAAGAACGCAGCGAAAUGCGAUAAGUAAUGUGAAUUGCAGAAUUCAGUGAAUCAUCGAAUCUUUGAACGCACAUUGCGCCCCCUGGUAUUCCGGGGGACAUGCCUGUUCGAGCGUCAUUUCACCACUCAAGCCUCGCUUGGUAUUGGGCAACGCGGUCCGCCGCGUGCCUCAAAUCGACCGGCUGGGUCUUCUGUCCCCUAAGCGUUGUGGAAACUAUUCGCUAAAGGGUGUUCGGGAGGCUACGCCGUAAAACAACCCCAUUUCUAAGGUUGACCUCGGAUCAGGUAGGGAUACCCGCUGAACUUAAGCAUA
This 537-nucleotide ribosomal RNA is filed under the name uncultured fungus. RNAcentral describes it as "eukaryotic LSU rRNA". The stretch from base 188 to 341 matches the Rfam family "5.8S ribosomal RNA". The record is from RNAcentral. Lineage: Eukaryota; Fungi.